RNAcentral lists this unclassified non-coding RNA (284 nucleotides) under Glomus sp. RNAcentral describes it as "partial contains 5.8S ribosomal RNA and internal transcribed spacer 2". The stretch from base 1 to 65 matches the Rfam family "5.8S ribosomal RNA", at positions 84 to 154 of the family's 154-position model. Lineage: Eukaryota; Fungi; Glomeromycota; Glomeromycetes; Glomerales; Glomeraceae. The record is from RNAcentral.
GUGAAUCAUCAAAUUUUUGAACGCAAAUUGCACUCUCCUCGGAGAGUAUGCCUGUUUGAGGGUCAGCCUAUAUAAAAUCGACAUCGUUGCUGUUUCGCGGUGGUGUUCGUCGUAAAUUGGCCAUCUUACAUCCUUUUGGUUUUUAAGCGACUUAAAAUUUUCUUUUUGGUUCCUUGAACGUUUCUAAGUUUUUUUUCUUUACAUGUGUCUGGUAUCGCUUUUUCUUAGACGUGACCACCAUAUCGGAUCGCGUCCAUACUAUAUCUUUUACUGACCUCAGCCAG